CCUACGGGAGGCAGCAGUGAGGAAUAUUGGUCAAUGGACGCAAGUCUGAACCAGCCAAGCCGCGUGAAGGAAGAAGGCUCUAUGGUUCGUAAACUUCUUUUAUAAGGGAAUAAAGUGUACGACGUGUCUUGAGUUGUAUGUACCUUACGAAUAAGGAUCGGCUAACUCCGUGCCAGCAGCCGCGGUAAUACGGAGGAUCCAAGCGUUAUCCGGAUUUAUUGGGUUUAAAGGGUGCGUAGGCGGACUGAUAAGUUAGCGGUGAAAGGCCGGGGCUUAACCCGGGAAUUGCCUUUGAAACUGUUGAUCUUGAGGAUGUGUGCGGCAGGCGGAAUGCGUGGUGUAGCGGUGAAAUGCUUAGAUAUCACGCAGAACACCGAUUGCGAAGGCAGAUUACCAAGCCAUAACUGACGGUGAGGCACGAAAGCGUGGGGAGCAAACAGGAUUAGAUACCCGUGUAGUC
Molecule: ribosomal RNA, 460 nt
Filed under: uncultured bacterium
Lineage: Bacteria
Description: partial 16S ribosomal RNA
Rfam family: Bacterial small subunit ribosomal RNA
Source: RNAcentral